AAGACCUUGCGCUUUUGGAGCGGCCGAUGCCUGAUUAGCUUGUUGGUAAGGUAAAAGCUUACCAAGGCUUCGAUCAGUAGCUGGUCUGAGAGGACGACCAGCCACACUGGGACUGAGACACGGCCCAGACUCCUAUGGGAGGCAGCAGUGGGGAAUUUUGGACAAUGGGGGCAACCCUGAUCCAGCCAUGCCGCGUGAGUGAAGAAGGCCUUCGGGUUGUAAAGCUCUUUCAGCCGGAACGAAACGGUUACGGUUAACACCCGUGACUACUGACGGUACCGGAAGAAGAAGCACCGGCUAACUACGUGCCAGCAGCCGCGGUAAUACGUAGGGUGCGAGCGUUAAUCGGAAUUACUGGGCGUAAAGCGUGCGCAGGUGGUUUUGUAAGUCAGAUGUGAAAGCCCCGGGCUCAACCUGGGAACU
Molecule: ribosomal RNA, 423 nt
Filed under: uncultured bacterium
Lineage: Bacteria
Description: bacterial SSU rRNA
Rfam family: Bacterial small subunit ribosomal RNA
Source: RNAcentral